This 862-nucleotide ribosomal RNA is filed under the name uncultured bacterium. RNAcentral's name for it is "bacterial SSU rRNA". It matches the Rfam family "Bacterial small subunit ribosomal RNA", at positions 88 to 987 of the family's 1533-position model. The record is from RNAcentral.
AUACUUAGUGGCAGACGGGUGAGUAACAUGUGGGUAUCUACCCUUUGGCCUGGAAUAACACGAGGAAACUUGUGCUAAUACCGGAUAAGUCUUUACGGAGAAAGCUUUAUGCACCAUUGGAUGAGCCCGCACUUGAUUAGUUUGUUGGUAGGGUAAUGGCCUACCAAGACUAUGAUCAAUAGCUGAUUUGAGAGGAUGAUCAGCCACAUUGGGACUGAGACACGGCCCAAACUCCUACGGGAGGCAGCAGUGGGGAAUCUUGCACAAUGGAGGAAACUCUGAUGCAGCGAUGCCGCGUGAGUGAAGAAGGCCUUUGGGUUGUAAAGCUCUUUCGUCGGGGAAGAAAAUGACUGUACCCGAAUAAGAAGGUCCGGCUAACUUCGUGCCAGCAGCCGCGGUAAUACGAAGGGACCUAGCGUAGUUCGGAAUUACUGGGCUUAAAGAGUUCGUAGGUGGUUGAAAAAGUUGGUGGUGAAAUCCCAGAGCUUAACUCUGGAACUGCCAUCAAAACUUUUCAGCUAGAGUAUGAUAGAGGAAAGCAGAAUUUCUAGUGUAGAGGUGAAAUUCGUAGAUAUUAGAAAGAAUACCAAUUGCGAAGGCAGCUUUCUGGAUCAUUACUGACACUGAGGAACGAAAGCAUGGGUAGCGAAGAGGAUUAGAUACCCUCGUAGUCCAUGCCGUAAACGAUGUGUGUUAGACGUUGGAAAUUUAUUUUCAGUGUCGCAGGGAAACCGAUAAACACACCGCCUGGGGAGUACGACCGCAAGGUUAAAACUCAAAUGAAUUGACGGGGACCCGCACAAGUAGUGGAGCAUGUGGUUUAAUUCGAAGAUACGCGCAGAACCUUACCAACACUUGACAU